UGUCUUCACUGUGAGUAAGGUGAAAGCCCGUGUGACCGAUCAGGUGAAUGACAGCUGCAUCCAAUCAGAUCAUGUGAUGUGGUUAGCAGAUGUUUUAAAAUACCUACUGUGUUCAGGCAUCGUGAGAGCUGGAAUGCGUCUGCUAUGAAGUAAAACCGGAUGUUUUUGGAAAAAGUAGACCCCUGCCUUUUGGCUGAUCCAUUUGUGGUUUCAAGAACAGCACAAACUGGCCCUAACCAGAACAGAAAGAGGAGUUGGAGGCCCCGGUGCACAAAAAAACCCAGCCGCUUCCAGGCCUGCAGUGACUGAAAAGCAGUCUGGAGCUCUUCAACAGCCUGAACCAGAGAAGGAGCACAUGAAUAUAUGACUGGAUACAUCUGACAACACACCAUAUCCUCUAUUUGUCAUUUCAUCAACGAGUGCAAGCGAAGUGAAGAGGUUUGUCAUGAAGGAACUUGCUAACCUUGAGGCACCUGAGAUUGCUCUGCAAGACCGAGAACGACACUGGGUCCCUGACCCAACCCAGUCCCAGGGAGGAGAGUGUGCGAUCCACCAUAUGGCUCCAUGUGACCACUGGAUGAGGCAAGGCUCCGUAGCUUGUAACCAACACGGAUUGGUUUACCUCUUAUGAAUUGCUUAUAUCCAUGUCGGCCAUAGUAUCAGAUCAUGCUCUCAUUCACUGACAGCCAUUCCUGAAAUGGCAUGACUUUGUAUGACUGACUGAGCUCUGAGAAGAUGGACCAAACCUUUAAAAAAAAUGGGUCGUCAGUGAUCUUUGUGUUGUCAACCACAUGAACUGAGGCCAUUUUAUUUAAAUAAAAGCAAUUUCUCCGCA
This is a long non-coding RNA of Oncorhynchus tshawytscha (Chinook salmon), 835 nucleotides long. RefSeq lists it as uncharacterized. The record is from RefSeq and is a predicted model, not a curated record. The transcript is spliced from 3 exons. Lineage: Eukaryota; Metazoa; Chordata; Actinopteri; Salmoniformes; Salmonidae.